AAGCAUUUUUCUUCCCUUCUCCUGAUAUUUUUCCACUUCAGUCAGUGCACCGGAGAACAUCUCACUCCCACAGCCCUGCCACUUCCAGCCCCCCAGCAGCAGCACUGGGGGAUUUCUAACACCAAAUGGCUGGAGCAGAAACCUGUCCUGAGGCAGUGGGGCUGGGGCUGCCCUCCAUGGGCCACACAGACCCCACAUUUGGCCCCCGAAUUUCCCUGCCAGAAUCCGGGGCAGCCUGGGCAGCAUGCUCCGGCCGGUGGCUGCUCCGAGAGGAGACAAGCCUCUGCUGCUGGAUGCAUAAUCUCCAAUUUAUACAAAGCUUUGAAAGGCAUCCAACGGUCUAAUUGGGAGGCCCUUAAAUUAAAGUGGGGAUGGGAUUUGGAAUCCACUUUAGAGCCUGCGGUUUGGAGGGAAGCAUGGGGAUCCAUUUCAUCUGUGUUGAUAUCAAGGGAGCCCAAUAUAAAUGUUUUCUGGCACUUUUAUUCCUCCAGCCCUGGGGUUUACAUGAGGGUUGGCUUUUUGUUCAGGUUUUUUUCUUUCUCUGUUGUUUUUUUGCACUCUGAAGCCUCUUCCAAGCAUAAUUUUGGAAGAGGGGUGUUACCACAGUGUCUGGGGCACCACCACUUCUUGCAGGUCUGGCUGCUGGACCAUGGCACUGUACCAUGCCUGUCCCCUCACUGGUGGCAGCUGCCCUGCCCAGGUGGGACAUCGGCAAAGGGGUUCUGGAUGUGCUGCCAGGGAGCGGUGGGCAAGGGGAGCUGUGCCUGUUGCAGGAGCCUCGGGGCUGCUCUCAGGGAUGGCUCUCUUUCCCCAAGCCCCGGCCCUGCAUUUCCACAGCUCCCCUCUGGCCUGGGGCUUGGGAGACAGCUCUGGAAUGGCUUUAUUGCCCACCCUCAGGAAAGCUCUGCUGCCCUAAGCCACCAUGUCAGAGCUGAGGCAGAUGCUGGGGGCAGGAUGAGGGGGUGGGCAGGAGAUGAUCUCCAUUUGCACAUCUGCUUUUAA
This 1002-nucleotide long non-coding RNA is filed under the name Corvus moneduloides (New Caledonian crow). RNAcentral's name for it is "lncRNA (ENSCMUG00000015360.2)". The record is from RNAcentral. Lineage: Eukaryota; Metazoa; Chordata; Aves; Passeriformes; Corvidae.